Molecule: ribosomal RNA, 375 nt
Filed under: uncultured bacterium
Lineage: Bacteria
Description: bacterial SSU rRNA
Rfam family: Bacterial small subunit ribosomal RNA
Source: RNAcentral
GACGAAGGGGGCUAGCGUUGUUCGGAAUUACUGGGCGUAAAGGGCGCGCAGGCGGCUUUGCAAGUCAGGCGUUAAAGACCCAGGCUCAACCUGGGGAAUGCGCUUGAUACUGCAGAGCUUGAGAUCGGAAGAGGAGAGUGGAAUUCCCAGUGUAGAGGUGAAAUUCGUAGAUAUUGGGAAGAACACCAGUGGCGAAGGCGGCUCUCUGGUCCGAUUCUGACGCUGAGGCGCGAAAGCGUGGGGAGCAAACAGGAUUAGAUACCCUGGUAGUCCACGCCGUAAACGAUGUGUGCUGGACGUUGGAAGGCCUAGCCUUUCGGUGUCGUAGCUAACGCGUUAAGCACACCGCCUGGGGAGUACGGCCGCAAGGUUAAA